AGGGGUGUAGCCAAGCGGUAAGGCACUAGACUUUGACUCUAGCAUUUCGUAGGUCCGAAUCCUGCCACCCCUGCCA
This 76-nucleotide transfer RNA is filed under the name Clostridiales bacterium. RNAcentral describes it as "tRNA-Gln". It matches the Rfam family "tRNA". From Rfam's summary of the family: Transfer RNA (tRNA) molecules are approximately 80 nucleotides in length. Lineage: Bacteria; Bacillati; Bacillota; Clostridia; Eubacteriales. RNAcentral also lists the same sequence under 2 other names. The record is from RNAcentral.